The sequence is a ribosomal RNA, 401 nucleotides long. It matches the Rfam family "Bacterial small subunit ribosomal RNA", at positions 1 to 404 of the family's 1533-position model.
UUAAACUGAAGAGUUUGAUCAUGGCUCAGAUUGAACGCUGGCGGCAGGCCUAACACAUGCAAGUCGAGCGGUAACAGGGGUAGCUUGCUACCCGCUGACGAGCGGCGGACGGGUGAGUAAUGCAUAGGAAUCUGCCCGAUAGUGGGGGAUAACCUGGGGAAACCCAGGCUAAUACCGCAUACGUCCUACGGGAGAAAGGGGGCUUCGGCUCCCGCUAUUGGAUGAGCCUAUGUCGGAUUAGCUAGUUGGUGAGGUAAUGGCUCACCAAGGCAACGAUCCGUAGCUGGUCUGAGAGGAUGAUCAGCCACAUCGGGACUGAGACACGGCCCGAACUCCUACGGGAGGCAGCAGUGGGGAAUAUUGGACAAUGGGCGAAAGCCUGAUCCAGCCAUGCCGCGUGU